GGUCUGAUGGUUAACGAAACCACGGCAUAGAGGCACUGCAAACAUCCGAGAUGAGCAAACUAAGCUUGUCCGUAGUUUGCAGUCCUCGAUGUCGUAGUUUUGUUUUUCCAUCUAUUGU
Molecule: microRNA precursor, 118 nt
Filed under: Triticum aestivum (bread wheat)
Lineage: Eukaryota; Viridiplantae; Streptophyta; Magnoliopsida; Poales; Poaceae
Description: miR9664 stem-loop (tae-MIR9664)
Source: miRBase by way of RNAcentral